ACGAACGCUGGCGGCGUGCUUAACCCAUGCAAGUCGAACGGAAAGGCCCUGCUUUUGUGGGGUGCUCGAGUGGCGAACGGGUGAGUAACACGUGAGUUACCUGCCCUUGACUUUGGGAUUACUUCAGGAAACUGGGGCUAAUACCGGAUAGGAGCUCCUGCUGCCUGGUGGGGGUUGGAAAGUUUCGGCGGUUGGGGAUGGACUCGCGGCUUAUCAGCUUGUUGGUGGGGUAGUGGCUUACCAAGGCUUUGACGGGUAGCCGGCCUGAGAGGGUGACCGGCCACAUUGGGACUGAGAUACGGCCCAGACUCCUACGGGAGGCAGCAGUGGGGAAUAUUGCACAAUGGGCGGAAGCCUGAUGCAGCAACGCCGCGUGCGGGAUGACGGCCUUCGGGUUGUAAACCGCUUUCGCCUGUGACGAAGCGUGAGUGACGGUAAUGGGUAAAGAAGCACCGGCUAACUACGUG
Molecule: ribosomal RNA, 467 nt
Filed under: uncultured bacterium
Lineage: Bacteria
Description: partial 16S ribosomal RNA
Rfam family: Bacterial small subunit ribosomal RNA
Source: RNAcentral